Molecule: ribosomal RNA, 460 nt
Filed under: uncultured bacterium
Lineage: Bacteria
Description: partial 16S ribosomal RNA
Rfam family: Bacterial small subunit ribosomal RNA
Source: RNAcentral
CCUACGGGCGGCAGCAGUGAGGAAUAUUGGUCAAUGGCCGUAAGGCUGAACCAGCCAAGUCGCGUGAAGGAAGAAGGAUCUAUGGUUUGUAAACUUCUUUUAUAGGGGAAUAAAGGUAUCCACGUGUGGAUAUUUGCAUGUACCCUACGAAUAAGCAUCGGCUAACUCCGUGCCAGCAGCCGCGGUAAUACGGAGGAUGCGAGCGUUAUCCGGAUUUAUUGGGUUUAAAGGGUGCGUAGGUGGUUUGUUAAGUCAGCGGUGAAAGUCCGGGGCUCAACCACAGAAUUGCCUUUGACACUGGAAGACUUGAGUGUGGUUGAGGUAGGCGGAAUGCGUGGUGUAGCGGUGAAAUGCAUAGAUAUCACGCAGAACUCCGAUUGCGAAGGCAGCUUACCAAGCCAUAACUGACGCUGAGGCACGAAAGCGUGGGGAUCAAACAGGAUUAGAUACCCCUGUAGUC